AGCUUUGCGCAGUGGCAGUAUCGUAGCCAAUGAGGUUUAUCCGAGGCGCGAUUAUUGCUAAUUGAAAACUUUUCCUAAUGCUAAGCAAACAUCUCCUCAGUAACAACCCAUUAUGGAGUUAGACUUACACAAAAAUUUCUUUAAGCAGCUAAAACUA
Small nuclear RNA from Panthera leo (lion), 157 nucleotides. Its record names the gene U4. It matches the Rfam family "U4 spliceosomal RNA". Rfam says of the family: U4 small nuclear RNA (U4 snRNA) is a component of the major U2-dependent spliceosome. The structure of U4 snRNA from yeast and human has been reported. The record is from Ensembl. NCBI's taxonomy places the organism in Eukaryota, Metazoa, Chordata, Mammalia, Carnivora, Felidae.